RNAcentral lists this non-coding RNA (27 nucleotides) under Mus musculus (house mouse). The record is from RNAcentral. Lineage: Eukaryota; Metazoa; Chordata; Mammalia; Rodentia; Muridae.
AGGACAGUGAUGUCUCAGUUGAUUGUC